Molecule: ribosomal RNA, 253 nt
Filed under: uncultured bacterium
Lineage: Bacteria
Description: partial 16S ribosomal RNA
Rfam family: Bacterial small subunit ribosomal RNA
Source: RNAcentral
UACGUAGGGUGCAAGCGUUAAUCGGAAUUACUGGGCGUAAAGCGUGCGCAGGCGGCUAUGUAAGACAGAUGUGAAAUGCCCGGGCUUAACCUGGGAACUGCAUUUGUGACUGCAUGGCUAGAGUUUGGCAGAGGGGGGUAGUAUUCCACGUGUAGCAGUGAAAUGCGUAGAUAUCCGGAGGAAUACCAAAGGCGAAGGCAGUGUCCUGGCUGGUAACUGACGCUCAGGUGCGAAAGCUAGGGGAGCGAACAGG